CAACCCCCAAGCCCUAUUUGCUUGACGUUGGGAGCUUACAGCUGCUGUAACUCCUUAAAUUUAGUGGCGGAGCUAGGUCAUGCUCUGAGCGUAGUAAUUCUUUUUUCUCGCUCCUGAUGCUGGCUUGUAUCCUGCCGUAAAACCCCCUAAAUUUUAUUCU
RNAcentral lists this unclassified non-coding RNA (160 nucleotides) under uncultured Biscogniauxia. RNAcentral's name for it is "sequence contains ITS2". Lineage: Eukaryota; Fungi; Ascomycota; Sordariomycetes; Xylariales; Xylariaceae. The record is from RNAcentral.